GGGAGGCCCUGGCCUCCCAGAAUCACUCAUCAUCAAAGUUCUGACUCAGGAGGAAGUUGGCAGCCAAAUUCUCAUUUUUUUCACACGCGAAGUAGGCCUGGAUCACCAGGCUCUCUGGGAAGCCCAGUGCCUUCAGCUGUGGGAAGAUGGGCAAUGGUAAGAAGGGGGAGGUACUGGGCUACCCACCAUGAAUGGCUCUUCAGCCAGGCCUCUUACCCUUUCUAUAGCCUCCUUCUCCUGCGGUGUCACCUGGAUAUAGUUCAUCUGUGGGGCCUCCUCACCUAUGGCACCAACCUCCCCCUCUACAUCAGAGAUGUCCGCCAGCUCCCCGGGAGGCUCAUUCAACAUCUGGAUGAACUGCUCCUGGUGACGGCUAAUUUGCUGUGAGAAGAAGAAGGGUGAGAAUUCACAGUCCUCAUCACCUAUGCCCAAGUCCCAUGUUAUACCCCUUGCUUAUUAUACCAAACUGUCAAAUACUCUGAAGGUGCAUGCUCUGGCUAAACAGCCAUGCAGCCAUGGAAAUAAGCCGUGGAAAUAAAUGGUGCCAAGGUGGGGAGAUGGAAAUAGUGGCAGAUGCCUUUAAUCCCAGCACUGGGGAGGCAGAGGCAGGUGGAUUUGAGUUUUAGGCCAACUUGGUCUACAGAAGAGUUUCAAAGUAGUCAGAGCUCCAUGGUGAGACAAAUAAAAAAGUUAAAUAAAUGUGCCGAAACUCGGCAUAGUGGUUCAUACCUGUAAUCCCAGCACUUGGGAGGCUGAAGCAGGAGAAUCAACCUGAGUUUUAAGCCAGCCUAACCUACAUAGUGAGAUUUAAAGGGGG
This 817-nucleotide long non-coding RNA is filed under the name Mus musculus (house mouse). Its description in RNAcentral is "long non-coding RNA chr8:84835538-84836355". The record is from RNAcentral. Lineage: Eukaryota; Metazoa; Chordata; Mammalia; Rodentia; Muridae.